Molecule: ribosomal RNA, 465 nt
Filed under: uncultured bacterium
Lineage: Bacteria
Description: partial 16S ribosomal RNA
Rfam family: Bacterial small subunit ribosomal RNA
Source: RNAcentral
AACGAACGCUGGCGGCGUGCUUAACACAUGCAAGUCGAACGGAAAGGCCCCUCUUGGUGUUCUCUUGUGGGGCGCGGGUGAGUAACACGUGAGUAACCUGCCCUUGACUUCGGGAUAACUUCAGGAAACUGGGGCUUAUACCCGCUAGGGAUCCUUGCUGCAUAGUGGGGGUUCGACAGCUUCGGCGGUUUUGGAUGGACUCGCGGCUUAUCAGCUUGUUGGUGGGGUAGUGGCUUACCAAGGCGUUGACGGGUAGCCGGCCUGAGAGGGUGACCAGCCACCCUGGGACCGAGAGGAGGCACCGGCGGCUAAGGGUGGCAGAUGGGGGGAAGAUUGAACCAUGGGCGCAAGCCGGAUGAAGAAAGGCCGCGUGCUGGAUGACGGUCUUAGGGUGGUAAAACGCUUUCAGCAGGAGCGAAGCUUGUGGUGACGGUACCUGCAGAAGAAGCACCGGCUAACUACGUG